CUGAGAGCAGGCUCUGGUGUCAAUGGCACAGAAGAGCUGGUGAGCUGUGACCAACUUACCUUCUAUCCAGGCACAGAUCCAGGGCUUUGAGUUGGCCCGCCCCAACAUCUACCCCAUCUACAAUUUGCAGGACUAGUCCUGCAGGAUCUCCAUGACACAGGGCAACAACGGUCCUGUGAGUCCUGGUGAGGAUCCAGAACUGAUAGUGCAAUGAACAUUUGCGAGUAAAGCUGUUUGGGCAAAAGGCCUUGAUAUAUAAUAACUUUGUAUCUCCCAGACCAACUGGAGUGUCUCCUCCUGAGUACUCAGCCUACGAUCCCAAGGGACUGAGUUGGCUCCAGUGCAGUGUACACGGAAGUGGCACUUGCUAUUUGGGGCUUGGCCUCAGAACUAUCCUGGGGACCACCACCUGGAACUAAGAAGCCUACAGUCUCUGCAGCCCAGAUGAGAGAGGAGAGCACGUAAGGCAGGAGCUAUAGAGACUGAAAUGUCUCACUCGUGGUGGCGGCUGAGAAGUGGAACAAGGAUGGCGCUGUUUCUCUAUUGGUGCUGGACAAGUUUAUUGGUGGACAUGGCAGGGACAAGUCCACUUUGAAAGAGAAAGUGGGAAUUAGGUGCAGAAACGUAGGAAAUUAAUUAGCAGUCUGUCUGAUCAAUGACUGCACGAAGAGAGGUCAUUUGCUUGUGCUUGUAACAAAGGAAUCUCUUGGGUUUCAGAAAACUAACCUGUCUAGCCACAAAACCAACCUGUGGGCAGGGUUUACAUGGGGGAAGGGCUCUUUACACAGCCCAUCUCCAGUGUUUUCAAUCAUCCAUCACUCCUGAGGGCUCACUAGAAAAUCUGAUGGAAAAGUCUUCCACACCAGAAACUUCUACAGCGACUGCCUCAACGUGAUGAAUAUAAAUAUACUAUGCAUGUACACGGCCGUAGUACUUACCCAUCAAGAAUACUGACAAAUAUAAGAUUGCCUGACUAUACUUUCAUUAUUUUGACUCACUAAACUAAAAUGUAAGGCUAGAGAAGGUAAAUGUCUAGAAAGAAGUGGACAUUUUACCCCUGACAUUUACUCAACCCCAGUGGUUACUAUUAAUGAAAUGUAACAUAGUCUUUUGGAACAUGUGCAUGUACGUCCACACACACACUUAUACAUACUACAUAUCAACACUCAAAAUUUGGAUCGUACCACUUAUUCUGUGAGAACGUUCUUUUCGCGUGUGGGAUAGCCACGCCCACUCGUUGCCGAAUGAGCCACAAGGUAAUUGGAUGAAGGCAGGUUAAGGCUCUGUGUAGUCUGGAGUGGAAACGUAAACACCGUUGAUGGCAGUGGAGACAAUGGUUUCAGAAGUCAUUUUCUUUCUUUUUCUUAAAAGAUUAAUUUUUAAUUAUGUGUGCAUGUCUAUACCUGAGUGUGGGUUUGUGAACAAAUGCAGUGUCUAGAGAGGCCAGAAGAGGGCGUCGGAUCCCUUGGAGCAAGAGUUACAGGAGGUUGUAAACUGUAAUGAAAUCAAUUAAAAGACCAGUCUCUGGAUAUUUACUAGAAUGACUAAGAAGCGAAUACACUCCUUCAAGAACGGACAGCAACUUCCAGUGGCAGCCCAGACAUGAAGAGCUCCAAGGGAAGAACACGGGCUUCUACUUACCUACCUUUGCCGCUUGCCAAAUGCAUCCCCCCUGCUGCUGUCACUGCUGCUAGCCAAACUCAGUCUCCUGGGCCUUCCAAUAUGGACCAAAAGACCAGCCACUCUUCAGGAGUCCUCCGGGUCUUCUGCACCAGAACUGGCACGUUCUGGUCACGGCCUCAUGGUUAUCAGUCUCUCCAGAGUACAGCUGUUGUGUGAAAUAUGAAAACAAAACCAAAUCCAUGCUAUGGCUGGCUAGGCACCAGCAGACAGGCCGGCCUGCUCUCGGCCCAGCAGACUCAAGACUUAGAGCUCCGAAAUCGCUCUCUCCACCCCGCUAGCUAAGUUCCCAUGGCUGGCUGUUGUCGCGCCCACCCUACUCUUCCAAAUUCCCGCCGCUGGCUGGGGUAUACUCUUGCACACCUAUGUCACCAUUACCUUUCUCUGGAAUUCAGUGAGUCGCCGUGUGAAGGAAAACACCACACAAUCUUAGUUUAGAAUUACAGAUAACACAAUCGCUGGGCAUAGAGCCUAGCAUUCUAAUUUUAUAAGCUACUCUAUGUUAGAAAUCCUCCAGUAGGGAUCCACCACUCAAACCACCAGCCUCCGGCUUCUUACAUCGUAUGCCUCUAGACUCUCUGGAGUCCAAAACCCAUUCCUUCCUCCUGCGUUCCCUUUUCCUCCCUCUGACCCGGAAGUCCUGCCUCCUUCUCUCCCAGUGAUUGGUUUCUUGUAAUGUUUAUUUAUUAGGGGAAAAUCUACCACAUACAGCCUGCAUUGUAUAAGCCAAUACUCUCGCUGAACCUCCUUUGUAAUAUACAUCCUAUCAGUUUUUUUUUUCCUUUAGAGAACCCUAAUACACCAGACACAAGCAUGUAUAUGUAUUCUACAUCUGUAUUUGAUACAUUAAUAGUUUGCUAUUAAUAGUUUGUUGAACUAUUAUACUUUAUACAUAUUGAUAUUGUAUAUUAUGUGCAUAAACACACAUACAUAUUUAUUAAUAAACUUAUUAUAUCGACUGAGUAAACCGAGGCUGUCACUCCUGUCAACAAAGGAUUGAUAAUAUCCAGAAUAUACCAUGCCUGGGCAGCAAGUGGUCCUGGUGGCAUAGGUGUGGCCUGUCUGAGGGUGUAAGAGCAUGAGAACUGGACCUACCCUGUCUGGGGCAGUGCUGGAGAGCUGGCCCUCGCGACACGAGCAUGGGAUAGUUGUCAGCCUGACCAGCGGAGCUACCAUCCAGAGCCAGAUCCAGAGCCAUGAGUUGGCCCUAUUCCAUCUGUGAACUGCUGCCACGUAUGAAGGGCCAGCCUUACAGAUCCUAAGCUGCAGAUCUCCAAGACACAGGGCAACAACAGGCUAUCCAAAAGGAGUCCUGGUGAGAAUCCAGUGUUAACAGUGUAGCAUUAGCUGGAGGCCUCAAACCAGACCAAUGAUUCACUACAAUAAAUAUUUGCAUGUAGAGCUGUUUGGGCAAAAGGGUUUACUGUGUGACACACUGCAGCUUCCAUGGUGAAAUGUUUUACUUAUUGUUUUCUUUGGGAGGAGGGCUACAGGUGCAAGGAUGAAGGAUAU
Molecule: long non-coding RNA, 3192 nt
Organism: Mus pahari (shrew mouse)
Lineage: Eukaryota; Metazoa; Chordata; Mammalia; Rodentia; Muridae
Exons: 3
Source: RefSeq, a predicted model, not a curated record